UCUCUAUACAAGUAGUGUAAGGCAGUGUUUGAUAGCCAUUUGAAUUCCAUGGAAAAUAAAAAUUCAAUUCAAUUUCAUCUUCCACUUUUCUAUUGUUUGAUAGUAAUUAUUUUCCCUAUAAUUCAUUUUCUCACUUUAUUGCCACUCAGCCAAAUUUCAGUUUUUUGAUGAAUUUGAAUUCUUACCAAAAUGAUAAGAAUCCAUUUUCCAGAUUACUGUAAUGAUUUAUUAUUAUUAUUAUUUUUUCAAUGAAAAUAAAUUCUAAGAACUAUUGUAAAAAAAUAUUUUCCUUUAAUUGACAAUUUUUAUGUGAAACAAAGUCAAACGAACACCAAACAAUAGAUGAUUUUCUUGAUUUUUUUUACAAUGAAAACAAAUUCUAUCCACAAUAUCAAUAAUUUUUAUCCCGUUAAUUGACAAUUUUCAUAUAAAAUAAAGCCAAGAGAACACCAAAAUAUUUUUAUUUCAAUAUUUUUCAAGUAAAAAAUUAUAUCAAUCAUAUACUAUUAUUGACAAUUCCCAAAAUAAUAAUUUUUAGUUAAUUUAAUUCCCUACAAUUUAUUUUCUUUCUACUUAAAUUCCAUUUUUCAAAUGAACGGACCCUAAUUAUUUUGGAUAAGGGAAAUUACACAGCCUAGCAUUUUUCUCCGUUGGAUUGAACUGUUUAGAGAUUGAACUUUUCAGAUAGAAAGAGAAUAUUUACAAAUAAAUAGGUUGACAGGAAUAGACGUGACAUUUUGUCACUGAAUUUAAAAAACAAAAAAAAUACAAUCAUGACAGACAAUGAGAUUUGGCCCCUUUCUAAAUUUCAUUACAUUUUAUUUUUCUAUUUUUUAUUUUUAAUCACAUAAUUUUUCAUAAAAUGAUAUUAAACGUAAAAAAAUAUUGUUCCACUCAUUUUUAUUUCCAAACUGCAGCUUGGCCAACACUGCACCUAUAAUGCAGCCUAGCAUUUUUUCUGGACAAGUAGUGUAAUGGGAUCGUAGUUUUAUACAAGGGAAAUUACACACAGGCUCUUCAAAAUUCCAACUGCACUAUUGAGCAAUGGGAUCGUAAUUCUAAAACUGUGAAACAAAUCUUUGAUCCAAUCAUGUCCUCCACACAUGACUACAAGGUACGUAUCUUGUUGAAGGGCAAAAACAAAAGAAAAGAGAAGAAAAAUAAAUUAAUGUAGAAUUAAGAAAAAAAAAAAAGGAUCAUCUAUCAUCUUCCAUCUACACCCCGACAGCAGCACUGGUAGUUGGAGUCUGCAACUCUCCCAACUGUUCCUCGUCAGGUUAAUUUUAAAGAAAUAAAAUUUACUAAAUUAGCUUUACAAUAUCGAGUCAGAAGGCUUUAACUAACUUUAAAGGAUUAAGUCCAAAAAGACAUACAUAGUGCAUGUAGUCCUGCACCAUAUUCUGGAAUCUAAAAAUUAAACAAACGAACAGAAAAAUUUAAGGAAAAUGGAAAAGUACUACCUGGUCCCAUAAUUUGGAUUAGCAGCAGCUUAGGAAAUGAAAGAAUUUAGAGCAGACGAUAAUGACAGUUUGUUGGUGACAUUGGCCCCGAAGGGCGGCGCCGUCACCAUUGAUGGUAUCAAGAUCGAGUCGAGCCCCUUCAAUGCACCUGUUGAAGUUGAAAACUUGAUUUUGAUACCAAAAAUGGUGGUAGCGCAACCUCUGCACAUCGACCCCAAAGUCACCAGCAGACUAUGAUCAUCGACUAUCUUUGUCGAAUCUUGUGCCGACGGUGUACUUGCAAUCCUUUCUUUAUACAGAAGUCUGAAGCCUAAUUUCUAUUGCUUUGAUGAAAUUAUUAUAACGGUUGUAUACUUGUCUUUCCAAAUCUUGUACUAAUUUGUAGUACUGAAAACAAUACAUGUUUCAUAGAAGAGUACUACAAUUGUUCUGCUUUGAAUUUAACGAUAAAAAGGGAUUGAGUGUGUGCCGUUUAUGUACAUUUGUACUUCGUACUACAAUCCAAGUAGCAGUACAAAAAUGUUUGCCGACAGUAGAGGAUAGGGUUUCAUUGUAUAGACAUUUCCUAUUAAAUCGACUUCAUUAUAUAGACAUUUCCAAGUAGCAGUACUUCAUUAGUUUAACUUUUCUUUUUAAAAUUACAAAAUAACCGAUUCCAUCAAAUAUUUUAAAACUUACUUUUUAUAAUGGAGAAAAAGAAUUAUUGAUUUUGAAAAAUGUACCUUCAAUGUAGUAAUAAAUUUCAAGACUUCUCACGUCCAUGCAAGCCUUGUUCCUGCACAUUUGUGCAGUUGGUGUCUCUUGUCGAAGAUAUCAAUAUAUUAUAAGCAUUAAAUGAAAAUACAAUAUUUUUAUCUAAAAUGUCUAGCUUGUGGGCUAGAAGUGGCGACGAUGGAAGUAAUUUGUCAUUUCAAUCACAUACCAUAGAUUGUUUGAGAAAUCUUGCUCUCAAUUCCCUUUAGAGCCUCGCCUCCUUCGUGUUUCGGCUCAUCCUCACAGGGUCAAUUGGUCACCCUAAAGGGGUUCGCCCUGGCAUUGAUUUGUGCGCAGGCCCCACGGUUGCUAGCCACGUAGGACAUUUGAGGGUCGUAUGGAUGACUCGUAAUAGCAGUAGUCAUCAUUAGGGUCUUUAAUCCUUUUGAAAUAGAAUAUCUCCGCCCCUAGAUGAUAACGAUAUAAAGAGUUUGUAGCAAGUGAGUUUUCAAUAGACGGAACCCAUCUGUUUAAUCGUUAUAAAGUUAAUUCUCUUUUCGAGUGUGACUGUCUUCUUUGAAAUCAAAGAAUUUUGGAAAAGUGUCUUCCCCCUUUUUUCGAUAUAUAAAAUAGUGGAUUCUACUAAGUCGAUUUUUAAGAAAUGUCGAAUCAAGUUUUCUUUUGUCCAAACCCUUCGAAGCCUAUACACCAGUUCUCUAGACAAAAUAAGUAGUUUAAUAUUUUCAAAUUUAAUUCCGACUAUUAGUUACUUUUAUACAUAUAUAUUACUUAUAAGUAAAUUUUAAUUUAUACUCAUGUUAUGAAUUUUUGAUAUUUUAGUUUUCUUGUAUUUUUGGUUUUUUUAUGAAGGCAAUUAGAAGAACACAAUUCCCCGUGAAUUUGAAAUGAAAUAAUUAGGAUUUCGCUCUAUAAGCAUUUGAGAGAAGAUGUUGGUGAAUUCAAUUGACUCUUUCUAGAAUAUCGUCAUAUACAAUGUAGUUAAAAAUAAUAUAAUGCAUCACUCACAAAAGUUGUCAACUUAUCGCUAUCUUGUAAAAAUAUCGAAAUAUUAUAGAAUCGAGGAAUAUUUCAUAAUUAAACAUUCAAUAUUUAAGCUACAUAGUAAUUUUUUGUGAAAUUAGAAUCCUUUUUCAGCAAAUGAAAUAUUUAAUUUUUAAUGUGAAGAUACAACAAGUGUUUAUUAUUAGUCCGUUCACGUUGAUCAUAAAUAUUACAGCCACCUAACAUAAUAUGUUUAUUAUCGAUGACAAUUAUGAUUAAAAAGGAGUAUACUUUAAAGUUCUCAAUCGUUCAACGAACUGCUGUUGGAUAAUUGAUCGGAAUUGAUUAUUCUCAUAUAUCUAUUAUGUAUAAAUUUGAUUAAAAUAAUCUAUAAAUGUUGAAUUCUAGAUGAAUCAAACAACGCAGUGUUUGAUAGCCAUAAUUGAUCGGAAUUGAAUCAAUUAUUCUCAUAUCCACUAUGUAUAAAUUUGAUUAAAAUAAUCUAUAAAUGUUGAAUUCUAGAUGAAUCAAAUAAGGCAGUGUUUGACAGUCAUAAUUGAUCGGAAUUGAAUCAAUUAUUCUCAUAUACCCAUUAUGUAUAAAUUUGAUUAAAAUAAUCUAUAAAUGUUGAAUUCUAGAUGAAUUUUAAUGGAGAUUUUCUUAUCUUAUUACAAUAGGACGAACGAUUUGACCUGAUGCAUAUUAAAGCCGUCGGGCUCACUGUUGUGAGAGCUGUAGGGCCCAUCCAAUUGAUUGGUCCUGCCUGUAGAUAUAGGGAUUUGCUGCUCUGCCAGGUUUUAAAACCAAGCAUUGAAGCACUUGUUUCCUUUUCUUUUCUUUUCUUUUCUUUUCUUUUUUUCUUUUUUUCUUUUUUUUAAUCUAUCCAAUAGCCAAAUGACACGUGUCAUAUGUUCCAAACCCUGAAUUUUAACCCUAUUAGUGUAGCGUGGUUCAAUGAUAUAAAUUUUGAGUUAGUUCUACCCAUUUUCUAAUAAAUUUCAAAUUCAAUAGUCCUUAAUGCUUAUAACAACUUUACAAAUGGCGAAUCGACCUAAAAUAAUAAUGUAGAAUCAUGCUAUGGGCAGUAACGGAUUUAGUAUGUGGCCAGCUAGGGCGGCUGAUUCGUCAAGAAGAAUUUUUUUUUUUUUUUGUUGGUAAUAAAUAAAAAAUUUAGGUUAUAUAAUUAAUGGUUUAUUUUAUUUUCAAA
Molecule: long non-coding RNA, 4362 nt
Filed under: Olea europaea subsp. europaea
Lineage: Eukaryota; Viridiplantae; Streptophyta; Magnoliopsida; Lamiales; Oleaceae
Source: RNAcentral